Molecule: long non-coding RNA, 4358 nt
Organism: Equus asinus (donkey)
Lineage: Eukaryota; Metazoa; Chordata; Mammalia; Perissodactyla; Equidae
Source: Ensembl
UUUAAAUUAAUAUUAAAUUUAAUGGAUUGUUUUGGAUCUCAGGUGUAGAAAAUUGAGCCAAUCAAAUUGCUGUUUAUAUCACUCCCACCAUCAGACUGUACAAGCUCUCUCUCUUGUUUUAUUUUACUUUAUUUAAUUUAUCUCUUUCAUCCCUGAUCUCUACAGCUGUUCUUCUCUUUUUCUUUACGGUAAAUUCCGCACUUAUGUAUCCUUGAAAAUACACAUUUCAUUGUAAAAGGUAGUGUUGAUUUGUGUAUGUUUUCACUAACACCUGUAAACUGCGUUACAGAGCUCAUCUGUGUGUUUUUUUUCACUCGGUGCAGUGUUUUGCAGGUCUGUCCUUGUUGCUUUCUGUGCAUAGGACGUGGAUCAAUUAGGAGUGCCUUUGGUUGUAAGUAACCAGAAGCCGAGCUCAUGGUUGGCUGCUGGGCUGGACCCACUGCUAAGCUUCAACCCAAAGCUUCUUUUAGUGUUUUUUCUGAACGGCAGAAGCUGGAAAGCUAAAAUGACACUUCCCAGAUCCCCUUGAGCUAGGAAUCUGUGAUUUAGGCUCUGUUCUUGUGCAAGACAUAAAUUUGGAACAGAGCUAAAUAGCACGGGACAUCCGUUUUGCUGUCACAGAUCAGGACAGAUGCGGGGGGCGGGGGGAGCUCUGGGGAGCAGCUUCCUGAUUCAUCAGCUUCCUGUAGGAGUGACUGUUGUUUUCCCAAUCACGGCAGAGGUCAUGUGCCUCUCAAAGCUGGGAGUUCUUCCCGGACCUAGAGCCUGCUUCUCCAUCUCUGUAUGCUUAAACUAACCAGCCAUCUCGUUGUGUUUAAACUAGCCAGACUUAUUUCUGUUGUCUGCACUUGAACCCUGACUGAUACAUGUGGCUUAAACAAAUAGAAGUUUAUUCUUCACACAAGAUAACACGGUCAGGGAUAAGAAGCUGUUGGUGUUGAUGUAACUUGAUGACGUCAGGGCCUUCUCUGGGAGUCUCUCCACUUUUCCCCAUGGUCACAAGAUGGAUGCUGAACCUCUAGCUAUCACAGUAAAAUGUGGUGAAUGCACAUACGGAAUUCUAUGCAGCAAUUAGAAGAAAUCUACUAGAUUGUGUGUCAGACAUCGCUGGUUAGAUGACACAAUCCCUAUCUAUAACCCCACUUGUCUCCAGUCACCUUUCAGUUAGGUAUGACCAUGUGAUACAGUUUUGGCCAAUGAAAUGAAAGCUGUAGUCUGAUGAGUGAGACUCCUGGAAAAGUCUUUGCUCUCUUGAUAAAAGAUGUGGGGCGUACCUUUUUACCUCUUUCUUUGCCCUUCUUCCUGCUGCGUAGAAUUCCAUAGUGUGCAUCCAUCACCUUUUACUUAUCUAUUCUUCUGGUGAUAGGUAUCUAGGUUGCCUCCAACUUCCUGCUGCUACAAAUAACACUGCGCUGAACGUCCUUGUUCAUGGCUAGUCGUGGACCUGCGAGAGAGCGUCUCUGAGGCUGCUGGGUCAUAGGGCACGUACAUGCUCAUUGACCAGGUACUGUCGGGUUACUCCCACCAGCAGUUCUUAAAAGUCUCCCUCCAUCCUGUCGACACUUGUAAUUAUUCAGCCUUCUAAUUUUUGUCAAUCUGAUGGUGCAGAACUAUAAAGUGAUAUUACGAUUUUACACUGGAUUUCUCUAAUUAUCAACAAGGUGAGCAUCUCUCUGCAUACCUGAUAGCCAUUCUUGUUUCCCUGACUUCGAAUCGCCUGUUCAUAGCCUUUGUCCAAUGUUCUGUUGGACUUUGCUGUCUUUUUCUUACUGAUUUUUCAGGAGUUCCUCUUAAAAAUCUAGAUAAUCAACCCAUUGUCAGAUAGGUUUUAGAAAUGGCAAUGUUAUAAACCUUUCUGUUAGCUUUAUCUGUGGUGAACUUCAUUGAAAGAAAUCUUGAAUUUUGGUGUGGUUAAAGUCAUCAAAAUUUCUCCUUAUACUUUGUGCUUUUGGGUCUUGUUUAAGAAGAAUUUCCAGGGCCAGCCCGGUGGCGCAGCAGUUAAGUGCACCUGUUCCGCUUCAGCGGCCCAGGGUUCUCUGGUUCAGAUCCUGGGUAUGGACAUGGCACUGCUUGACAAACCAUGCUGUGGUAGGCGUCCCACAUAUUAAAAAAAAAAAAAAGUAGAGGAAGAUGGGCACGGAUGUUAGCUCAGAGCCAGCCUUCCUCAGCAAAAAGAGGAGGAUUGGCAGCAGAUGUUAGCUCAGGGCUAAUCUUCCUCAAAAAAAAAAGUGUUAAACUUUUUUCUCCAGAAUGGUCUUAUACAUUCACUGUUAGGUUGAUUUCUAGAUUCUUUAUAGUUUGUCCUGUUAUUGUAGCUCAAGUCUCAUAUUUUUUUUUGCUUAUUGUUGAUAUAGAUGCAUUUCUUUUUCUCUCUUUCUUAGACCUAUAUGAAUCAGAUUAAUCAUAAUCCCCAGUUCAUGACAUAUUCUCAUUUUGGUCCCUGUAUAGUCUGCUUUUUUUUAGUUUAUUAGUUAGUUAAUUAUUUUUAAUAAAGCAAUAAGAACCUAUAAUACCUCCCCCCAAAACAAAAGCUAGAACUUGACAAUACACCACAUCUUAACACGAUUUCCCCAGUUUAUUCCGUCUGUCUCCACCCGAGGCAGCUAGAAUCCUGAAUCUCAUGUCCGUUGUUUUGUCGCUUUCCUUUACAGAUUGCUUUACUCCAUCUUUAGGUAUUCCUUCAAAGUGUAUACAUUACCUGUAUACAACCCUCCUUGACUUAUGACGGGGUUACAUCCUGAUAAACCCAUCAUAAGUUGAAAAUACUGAAAGUUGAAAAUGCAUUGAAGGGGCCGGCCUGGUGGUGCAGCGGUUAAGUUCGCACGUUCCACUUCUUGGCGGCCUGGGGUUCACCGGUUUGGAUCCCGGGUGCGGACAUGGCACCACUUGGCAAAAGCCAUGCUGUGGUAGGCAUCCCACAUAUAAAGUAGAGGAAGAUGGGCACGGAUGUUGGCUCAGGGCCAGUCUUCCUCAGCAAAAAGAGGAGGAUUGGCAGUAGUUAGCUCAGGGCUAAUCUUCCACACACACACACACAAAAGCAUUUAAUACACCUAACCUACCAAACAUCAUAGCUUAGCCUAGCCUGUCUUAAAUGUGCUCAAAACACUUGCUUACGGUUGGGCAAAAUCAUCUAACACAAAGCCUAUUUUAUAAUAAAGUGUUGAAUAGCUCAUGUAAUUUAUUGAAUACUCACUGAAAGUGAAAAACAGAAUGGUUGGAGGGGUGCAGAUGGUUGUAAGUGUAUCUGUUGCUUACCCUCGUAAUCACGGGGCUGCCUAGGAGCUGCGGCUGCCGCUGCCCAGCGUCACGCGAGAGGAUCAGACUGCAUAUCGCCAGCCCAAGAAAACGUCAAAAUUCAAAAUACGAAGUAUGGUUUCUACUAAAUGCGUAUUGCUUUUGCACCAUCGUUAAGUUGAAAAAUGGCAGGAGUGUGCACUUCUCAUCUUCCACCAUCUUUCCUGCUGGCUGCAGAAGUUAUGUCUGGCGCUAGAGCAGUCAUCUUGGACCAUGAGGUAGAAGCCAUGCACUGAAGAUGAAGAAACCACAGAGAAGGCACCUGGUUUAUUUGUCUAUACCCAGGCUAAAAGGACACUAUCCUAAUUACUGUUGCUUUAAAAUAAACCACGAUAGCUGCUAGGGCAAGUAUUCCCAUUUUAUUUUCCUCCUUUAACAGUGUCUGGGCUACUCUUGGUCCUUUGAACUACUGGAAUUUUAAAUCUGUCAACUGUGGUAAAGUGAAGAUGGUCAUAAAUUCUCUGACACUCCUCCUAUUGAGAGGUGGUCUAUUUGCCUUUCCCUUGAAUCUGGCUGGUCUUAGUGACUUAUGGUGGAAGCGGUGCUGUGUGACUUCUGAAACUGGGUCAGAAGAUGCCUUUCAGCUUCCACCUUGGUCUCUUGGAAAGCUCACUCUCCAGACACUCUCUCAAAUGACUCCCUCUCGGGUUACUCCCUCACCAUCCUGUGAGAUGUCCAGGUCACAUAGACAGGCCAUUUGUAGACGCUAUAAUUGACAGCUCCAGCUGUGUUUCUAGCCUCCAGCCAGAUUCAACAGCAUCAUGUGAGGGCGCCAUCUUAGACAGCCAGCCUUCAGAUGACUCCAGUCCUGUAGUCAACACCUGUCUGCAACCACAUUAGACGCUCUAAGAAAGGAUUAUCCAGCUGACCCCUUCCUGGAUUCCUAACCCACAAAAUUGUGAGCAAAAUAAAAUGAUUUUUAAGCCACUAAGUUUGGGGGUAGUUUGUUAUGCAGCAAUAGAUAACCAGAUUAUCAAAUUCUACUAAAAAAAAAGUGUUGAGAUUUGAUCAAGAUGCCAUUGAAUCUGUAGAUCGAGUUGAAGAAAACUGACACCUUUAUAAUA